AUUGAACGCUGGCGGCAGGCUUAACACAUGCAAGUCGAACGAGUGGCGGACGGGUGAGUAAUGCUUGGGAAUCUAGCUUAUGGAGGGGGAUAACUACUGGAAACUGUAGCUAAUACCGCAUACCAUAGGAUGAGCCCAUGUGGGAUUAGCUAGUUGGUGGGGUAACGGCUCACCAAGCCGACGAUCUCUAGCUGGUCUGAGAGGAUGACCAGCCACACUGGGACUGAGACACGGCCCAGACUCCUACGGGAGGCAGCAGUGGGGAAUAUUGCACAAUGGGAGCAACCCUGACGCAGCCAUGCCGCGUGAAUGAAGAAGGCCUUCGGGUUGUAAAGUUCUUUCAGUAGCGAGGCGUUACCUACAGAAGAAGCACCGGCUAACUCCGUGCCAGCAGCCGCGGUAAUAC
This 406-nucleotide ribosomal RNA is filed under the name uncultured bacterium. RNAcentral describes it as "partial 16S ribosomal RNA". It matches the Rfam family "Bacterial small subunit ribosomal RNA", at positions 30 to 526 of the family's 1533-position model. The record is from RNAcentral.